This 1103-nucleotide long non-coding RNA is filed under the name Monodelphis domestica (gray short-tailed opossum). RNAcentral describes it as "lncRNA (ENSMODG00000049377.1)". Lineage: Eukaryota; Metazoa; Chordata; Mammalia; Didelphimorphia; Didelphidae. The record is from RNAcentral.
AGGGGAGAGAGGACUCCCACGCAGAAUACAUGCCUGCUCCUUCUGGUCAUCUGGGAAUCCCUGGUCAGUGCAGAGGUCUUGAAGUUUCUGUGUCUAAAAUCGAGAGCUCAUUACACUGAUCCACCUGCUUACCAACACACUGGAUUAGCUGUAAUGUUGACUGGGACCCAGGGACUUCAGGCAGACAUUCUUCUGAGCUGACUGAGGUGCAAGGGUGGCGUGCAGAUGAGUCUGGAACCUCCUGCUGCCCCAGGCUCUCUCCGGGGACCCUUUAGUCCUCAGACAUCAUCUCAACAUUACAUCUUAGAAGACUGACUGACAAGAUCUCAUCAGAAUUUGGCUCUGAGGCUCAGACCUGGCUCGGCUAUGACCUCGAAUAAGAACCUCAUGAGUUCAACAGUUCCCGGGAUCCUUCCUCAGUGCCAGCUGUCCAGAGGAAAGUGCAUCCACAGCUUCUUAGAGGAGAUGACCACUGAAAGGAUCAUUCUUAAACUGACGGGCUACAGAGCCAGACCUGACUGUCCAGAAGACAUGAACAUAAGGAAAUGUUCUGAGAGUUCUCAUUCAAGUUGUAUCUUAUUCUAAGUGACCCCAUUUGGCUGUCUUCUUGGGAGACAUACUGGAGUGCUUUGCCAUUUCCUUCUCCGGCUCAUUUUACAGAUGAGGAAACUGAGGUAAAGAAGGUUAAGUGACUUUUCCAGGGGCAAACAGUAAUCAGUGUCUGAGACCAUAUUUGAAUUUAGGAAGAUGAGUCUUCCUGAGUCCAGGCCUUCUUUUUCUAGAAGAAUGGUCAGGUGACAGGAAGGAGAUAGAAUUCAUUAUUUUUUUAAAUUUUAAUUCUUAUACAACUACUUGAUCACAUGGUUCAAUGGGGAUAUGACUGGGGAUGUAGACUCUAAAGGAUCACCCCAGUGCAAAUAUUAAUAAUAUAGAAAUAGAUCUUGAUCAAUGACAUACGUAAAAAAUAGUGGAAUUGCUUGUUGGGUAUGGGAAGGGGGAGAGAGGAGGGGGCGGGGAAAGAAUAUGAAUCAUGUAACCAUGGGAAAAUAUUCUAAAUUAAUUAAUUAAAUAAAUAAACUUGAAAAAAAGAAAUGUAUCGAGGC